UACGUAAGGUGCGAGCGUUGUUCGGAAUUAUUGGGCGUAAAGGGCGUGUAGGCGGUUUGGAAGGUCUGGUUUGAAAGGUCCCGGCUUAACCGGGGAAUUGGGUCAGAAACCACCAGACUUGAGUUCAUAGGGAGAAGCUGGAAUUCCUGGUGUAGGGGUGAAAUCUGUAGAUAUCAGGAAGAACACCGGUAGCGAAGGCGAGCUUCUAUGAAUGGACUGACGCUGAGGCGCGAAAGCGUGGGGAGCGAACAGGAUUAGAUACCCUCGUA
RNAcentral lists this ribosomal RNA (269 nucleotides) under uncultured prokaryote. RNAcentral describes it as "partial 16S ribosomal RNA". It matches the Rfam family "Bacterial small subunit ribosomal RNA", at positions 524 to 792 of the family's 1533-position model. The record is from RNAcentral.